GCUGAACCGCAGUGCUGUAAGAUGACGUAGUAAUAACAGAGACAAUGGUAGCGAUUAGUAUGAAAGACCUAAAA
Molecule: long non-coding RNA, 74 nt
Organism: Etheostoma spectabile (orangethroat darter)
Lineage: Eukaryota; Metazoa; Chordata; Actinopteri; Perciformes; Percidae
Exons: 3
Source: RefSeq, a predicted model, not a curated record